This 704-nucleotide long non-coding RNA is filed under the name Oryctolagus cuniculus (rabbit). Its description in RNAcentral is "lncRNA (ENSOCUG00000038577.1)". Lineage: Eukaryota; Metazoa; Chordata; Mammalia; Lagomorpha; Leporidae. The record is from RNAcentral.
UGAAAAAGAAAAGAGGAAGAUGCCAACUCACUGCAAAUAUUUGAAGAGAUUUGUCAGUGUAAUGAUCAACUUGUUUUUCUUUCUUAACAUCCAUCUCCAGAAGGGACAGAAUAAGAAAAUAGCUUAAGUUAUAGAAAAAAAAUUUGAAUUAGCAUUCUAAAAAAACAUUAUCUAUAUGUAGAGACCAAGAAUAUGAGACUUCAUUUGUGCUUAAUGCUAAAAUAAGGCAAAAAAAUGUAGAAGUAAUAAAUAUUUCCAGAGAGAUUAAAGAUGUUUUCUGACUUAAAGAAUAAGCUUAAGACAAAAGAUAUGAAUUAAAGGAUAUGUUAAUGUAUACUGUGUUCCUUUUCAGUCAUAUGUAAGAAGAUUAUUUUGUGCAUAUGACCAAUCAAUAAAUGAGAAUAUUAUGCUCAUAUUAAAGACAAUACCAUAAAGGAGAGAAGCCUCUCUGUUUGCCUUGCUGUAAUCUGAUGAACCGAUUGACAUGUCAGGUGAACUUUUUGAAGUCUCCUAAGAAAAGGAAAGGUAGGUAUAGGAUAAAUCUAUGUAUUAAGAUACAAAUAAUUUUUAAAAAUAUGAGCAAUUUUUCAAAUUCUAACAUGCUAUUGCUUUGUGACAGUUUUUUACUUCUGCGCUUAGUUUUGCAAUCCUUAAAAUGGAGUGAACAUUAUUGUUUUUAUAAAGUUGCUUUGCAGGUUGAAUAA